This is a long non-coding RNA of Girardinichthys multiradiatus, 992 nucleotides long. RefSeq lists it as uncharacterized. The record is from RefSeq and is a predicted model, not a curated record. NCBI's taxonomy places the organism in Eukaryota, Metazoa, Chordata, Actinopteri, Cyprinodontiformes, Goodeidae. The transcript has 3 exons.
GUUGUUUUGUGAUUGGAGGCAGAGUACGGUGGGUCUGGUUGCCUUGCAGUGUUAUGUCAAAUUUGAUUAGAGGCCUCGUCUUUUUUGCUGCUAGAGCAGUAAAACAAAGACCAGACUAGAGAAGAAAGGAAAAAAGACAUCUUAAGUACCAUUGUAUUAUUUUUAAUCAGACAGCAGACAAGCUCCCGCAGUUGCUGGGAACGUAAGAUUCUAAAAAUUCUAAAAGUGGAACAUAGUGUUAGUCAUACCAUAGACUACUUAAGUAUUUGUGAAUAUGCUGCUGCUGUAUUCCAAACAUUACAAACAUCUACAGGGUCGGAUUUGUUCCUCUGCAAGUAUUUCGAAAUUAGAUUCCGUAUGCAGGCUGCAGUGUGACUCAUAUCCGGUCGGGGGGGCCUGGUGCCUAUCUCCAGUCGUCAUUGAGCGAGAGGCAGAGUACACCCUGGACAGGGCGCCAGUCCAACACAGGAUUUGUUUGGAUCGACUGCAUUGGAGGAAGCCAGGGUACCUGGAGAUAACCCAUACAUGCACAGGGAGAACACGCAAACGGCAUGCUGAAUAAGCCCAGGCCAGGAUUUGAACCCAGGACCUUCUUGUUGCAUUGCAGCAGUGCUAACAACUGUGCCACCGUGAAAGUCCAACAUGUUUAUGUCUGUUUAAUUAAUUUAUGAAAUGUUUAUUUUUAUUCUUAUUUAUUCUAUGCUUCUAAUAAUUCUGAUGUCUAACUAUAGUGUAUUAUCAUUAUUACUAACACAGUCAUGUUCUUUCAGUCCUUCAAAUCAAUGUCACCUCUGUCAACCUGCGUAGUUCUGUACAUUUUCUGUUUCUGUUCUAUGCUUAGUUUGUUUGUGUUUGUUUUAUCUUUUAUUGCCUCCUGUUUUUAUCCUAUGUAAACACUUUGUGGUGCUCUUUUCAUGUAUGAAAAAGGCUCUCUAAAUAAAAAUUGAAUGAUUGAUUAGUGUUAGAUGGAGGGUUAUAAGUAUUAUCACACU